This 250-nucleotide ribosomal RNA is filed under the name uncultured bacterium. Its description in RNAcentral is "partial 16S ribosomal RNA". It matches the Rfam family "Bacterial small subunit ribosomal RNA", at positions 527 to 776 of the family's 1533-position model. The record is from RNAcentral.
AGAGGUCUCAAGCGUUGUUCGGAUUCAUUGGGCGUAAAGGGUGCGUAGGCGGCGCGGUAAGGCGGGUGUGAAAUCUCGGAGCUUAACUCCGAAACUGCAUUCGAUACUGCCGUGCUUGAGGACUGGAGAGGAGACUGGAAUUUACGGUGUAGCGGUGAAAUGCGUAGAUAUCGUAAGGAAGACCAGUGGCGAAGGCGGGUCUCUGGACAGUUCCUGACGCUGAGGCACGAAGGUCAGGGGAGCAAACGGG